This 344-nucleotide long non-coding RNA is filed under the name Cavia porcellus (domestic guinea pig). Its description in RNAcentral is "lncRNA (ENSCPOG00000039477.1)". Lineage: Eukaryota; Metazoa; Chordata; Mammalia; Rodentia; Caviidae. The record is from RNAcentral.
CUACUUGUCUUUAGGUCCAAACCCAAGUCUUGGAUGUGUCCACAUUCACCAGAAAGCCGCAAAAGGGAACUCAAGAAACACGGGAACAUCUUACAUUUGCUCUAUUGCUUAGGCCUUUCCAGGAUCAUGUGGCCACCACAUGGAAGAAAGAAGAGUGGAUGGAGUGGCAGGGAGAGGAUCAAGCCAAAAAGAAAGCUUCUCCCUGGGAGAGUAGCCUCAUCCCCAUACUGCGUCCAUGUGGGCUGGCUGACUGAGAAACACCCAGAGACUUGAUGUCUGCCAAGUCUGAGAACACUGCUGUUCUGAAAAGAUGUUCCUGCAAGCUGGGAGGUUAAGAAGGUCUC